CGUGUUUUUGUUUUGUUUUGUUUUGUUUUUUUGUAUUUUUUGUAUUUUUUUUUGUUUUUGUUUUGUUUUGUUUUUUUUUUUGUUUUUUUGUUUUUGUUUUUGUUUUUUUUUUGUUUACAAUUGCUGGGGUGUUUUUCCAUUGAUUUUUUUACCCACUUUUUUAUAAAAUUUCAUGCUUUAUUUAUCUUUAUUUGUAUAUACAUACAAUUUUGUUAAGGAUUCAUCACUUUAACAUAUUACUUCAAGAAAAAGGUAGAUGUUUAUUCUUCAAAUUUUGACAUUCAUCAUUUUCAAAAAUUAUAACCUAACAGAAAUUUGAAUGGUAAAAGUGUUUGGUCACCUUUAAGUAUUAUAUUCUUAUUAUAAAUAUACGUUUAAAUAUAUUUAUAAAUAUAAAUAAAACAAAUAUAUAUACAUAUAUAUAUAUAUAUAUAUAUAUAUAUUAAAACCACAACAUUUGAACCAAGAGAAUGUAAAGUUAGAAAUGUCAAGGUUUCCAGAGUUUGUAUUUAAGGUUAAGUCACAGUGGUUGUUUUUGUAUAAUGAAAUAACACCCAACUAAUCAGAACAUGGUUUUCCUUAGAAAUCUUUCAAAACAUUUCAUGCAUUGGAAAGAUUUCGAAGGAAAAUAACACAAAUGAAUGCGCUUGAAACAAGAUUGAACUAUUAUAUGGAAUACAAGUUUCAAUAUAGUACAAAAUUAUAAAUUUCUGUACGUGAAAUAAAAAUUCGGACAAGGUAAAAUCAAUAUCAUAAGGGACACUGCAUAAAUUAGUUGAAAUUAACAACGGUUAUUUUAAAAAAUAAAAUAUCAAUAUUUAUUAACAUGCAUGUAGAAGAUAAUUUUUAUGUGAAUACAUGUGAAUACAUUACUUAUAGAGAUUAAAAUAUACCUUUUAAAAUCGUAUUAAAUGUAACCUGUUUGUUUGAAAGUAAAUUCAUACACCGAAAAAUCUUGAUUUUUUUACACAAACAUGCAAAUUACUGAAUUGCAGGAUGAAGACCUGAAUAAUUUGAAUAAAAAGGCGAACUUAUUUGAAAAUGUCCUUAUAGAAUAAAAUUUCAGAACUUUUAAAUUAUGUGUUUUUUCUUGUGAGGAAUGUUUUUAAUGGCUGAUUUCUCUGAUAUGAGUUUCAUCGACUGAUUACUUCCAUAGCAUUAAACUUCAAUUUCAAUAGGUAUCUGUCGUUUUUUACAGUAAUAUGAGAUAUUAAUUAAAUUAUUGAUUUAGUAUGAUCCAAUAAUUUAGAUUGAUUUUCCAAAUAACUAUUAAUAAAAAUGUAAGUACAACAAGUGCACAGACAAAAUUAAAAAAACAUUAUAAUGCAGUAUUAUUUUGGUUGUUAUACACUUAAUUUAAUACAUUGUCAUAAAAUGGAUACAAUGUAUUUUUUUGGAAAGUUUGUUAAAAAAUUUUAAAAAUGAAAAUAAUCUAGUGUAUGUGUGUAUAUAUAUAUAUAUAUAUAUAUAUAAAUAAACAGUAUGUCCGCAUCAGAAUCAAACAUAGCCAUUUAUGAGUAACUGCAUCUUUAUAUGAUUCAUGGUCAUUAGUUUAUUUAUGCAACAGAAAUUAGAUUCAUGAAACACUUAACAUUUCUUAACACAUUUAACAUGACUUUCUUUUCUUCUCUUUUCUUUUCUUGCCUAUUUCAAAGUGAUGUGUGAUACAUAAAAAUUUAUAUGAUAAAAAUAAAAAUAAACAUUUAAAAUAACAUAAGGUGAUUGUUGGACAAAACUCUGUUUUUGUAUUUCAUACUGAAGAUUAAUUUCAGUAUACUCCUUAUACUAAAUUAUAAUCCUUUAUUCACAUUACCUAAAAAAUUAUGAUUAUUGUUUGAUUAAGCUUUGUGAAUAUACCUAUGUUGUAUGUUAGUCACAAAAAAAAAUAAAAAAAUAAAAAAAUAAAAUGCAAAGAUGGUAAUAAUAAUUAUAUAAAUAUAAUUUUUUUUAUUAUAUAUAUAUAUAUAUAUAUAUAUAUGCUUCCCAGCAUUAAAAAUAUUGAGUACCUUAAAUGCAUGGGAUAUACUUCUAAUAAAUGGUAGCAAAAAUUUGUACUGUUCCAAACCAUUCAAUAAACAAUGAAUACCUCAAAAGCCCUUUUUCAAGAGUACAAGCAAUACGUCCUACUUCUUUGGAUUGAAGUGCAUGUUGAGAAUUUAAAUAUUAUAUAUAUAUAUAUAUAUAUAUAUAUUCAUACAUACAAUAUUACCACUCCUAAGUUUUAGGAUUGAAUUAUCUGUCAAAACAUAACUUAUAGUAAGUUAAAACUUACCAAGUUUAGCCAAAAUCAUGAAUCUGCUCAAGUAUCUAUUUAUUGCUAGCCUAAUGCUUUCUCUCAUGCAUGCCCAAUACUUAUGCACCACAUAUAAUGUUGAGCUUUGCCAACACCUAACAACUAAUGAUUUGCAAGCAAAGAGAUGUGGAGCCUUAGAUCUUGUAGGCAACUCUUGUAGAGUGGACCAAAACCAAGUUUAAAGCACCCUCAUAAGUUAUUAUUAGAAAAUCUUUAAGAAAGAAGAUGAGUACAAAGCCAUGGAUCAAGACCAACUUCAAGCAAAGUGCUUAAGGAUGGUUCACUUUCUUGACCUUGAGGAAUCAUUUAUUCUAUGGGUUCUACAAUGAUAAUUGUAAAAUGUCUUGUUAUUAGUCAAACUUAUUAAAAAGCGCGGUCGAUGCUUCGUAGAAAUGCUUUCAAUCUUCAAAGAUAAAAUAGAAUUUUUAAAUGAUUAUUUUGAAAAUUUUAUCUCUUGCCACAAGCUGAAAGUGAUUUGAAUAUACUAAGAGAUAGACUCAAUUGAUCAAGUUAAUAUUGAUGCAACGAUGCUUGCUCUAUGCACAUGUAUUGUAAGAUAUGAUUUGUAUGAUGUAUACAAUAUAGAUGAAAUGAACGUAGAACUUUUUUACAAUAUAGUGCUAGACCGAACCAUUACUCAACAAUAAAUUGUCAACUACAAGAAAGAAAUUACACGAAUCACCAUUGCAUUCACAACGAAUGCCAUUGAAACCUACAAAUUGCCAUCAUUUUUUUAUCAGCUAUGCCGACAAGUUCUAUUGCUUCAACCAUUAUAUAAGCAAACAACUAAGUUUUUAUUAUUUUUUUAAUAAGAAAGAGUGUAUAAUAGAGUUUUUUUUUUUUUUUUUUUUUUUUUUUUUUUUUUUUCCAAAAAUGGCUUAAAAAUCUGAAUAAAGAUAUAUGAAGGGCACAUUAGUAGAUCUUGCUCCUCAUAGACAAUGCAUCAUUAUACAUUAUAAAUGACCAUAUUUCUUCAAACAUAGAUAUUUGAGUACUUCUACCAAAUACAACUUCAAAGAUCCAACCAAUGAAUGUUGGAAUCAUUGUGGCAUUCAAGUAGCACUAUUAACACUUCUAUUAGUAGAAUGCACUUAUCCAAGAUGAACAAAAUGAGGUCAAUUUAUACAAGGUCGAUUAAUUGAUGGUAAUGCACUGGUAACUUGCGACUUGGACAAAAAUAUCUGCAACAAUAAUAUAAAAUUAUUUCUAUUAUAUUAGAUUGUUUAAGUAAGUACUUGAAGUCUUAAUAAUCAACUAUAAAGAAAUAGUCAAAGAAGAGCUGGUGGGCAAAAUUUGAGAUCUUUUAUUACAAAAUCUAAUAUUAUUCAAAAAUCUACUCAAUCUAAUUGAAAAAAAUGGUUUACAUAUUAAACUAGAUGAUGACAAAAUUGUUGAGCUAUAUGUCAUGAAGAAGUAGAAUAUCACGGACAUACUCAUAUAAGCUAGUAAUUACAUAUACAAAUAGGUGGAAGUAAGUAAAAGUAGAUAAAAGUAAGUUAAUUCUAUAGUAUUUAAUAUAGAAGCUUCUUAGAAGCUUCAUAGACAUUGCUUUGACUUCAUAGGUGUCUUUAAUUGACUUUUUGGAUUAAAAACGUGGUCAACAAGUUGGCCAUGUACUACACAUAUUGUUAGCUUGAAGAUCAAGCUAACUAUGUGGCCCACACGUAGAAAAACUUACCUUGUAAGUCAAUGCAUGUGUCCUACAAAGUCAACACAUAUUGGAGGUCCUAUAGAACGUCGCCACGUAGCCCUUAUUUAGAUAGUAUAUAUAGAAACAAGAGUGAAGCCUUCUUCACUCUUGUCAACUCCUUUCUUACUUCCAAUCUAAUUUCAAGGGUCUUUAGUUUUCUUGUCUUUUGGCAAUAGCCAUUCUAGUUUCUCUUUCAAUAUACAUACUUGUUUAUUUAUAUUUUGUUACCCUUCUUUGAGUGAAGGCUCACUUAUCUGAAUUACUUUUUCAUCAAGUUCUUAUCCUUGACAGAUUGACAAGAGUACACCUACAAUAUCAGAGCUUUGUCUAAUCUUGAUUAAGAGUGGAUUAUCCCUUUUUUUUGACAAGAUAUAAUCAUAUUAGAAGUUGCGGAUUACCCUCUUCUAAACUGAUAUUGUCUUUAGUAUUUUCUUUGUUCCCAAGUCCUCUCUUCUAUUUGUCUUGAGCGAUAUUAGACAUCUUCUCUCUUCUAAGUGUUAUCAUGGCAAAACUUGUUGAAAUGAAGAGUGCAAUGACACAAAUAUAAGAGCAAUUGAGAGAGUUAAUGCUUCCGAUGCAUCAACUCAAUUUACCACCACAAGGAGCAACAAGAUUAGCAGAAAGUGAACAUAUAGAAAUGGUUGGAGCUACUUCAACAUCUGCACCAGACCAUGUCCUUUCUCCUAUGGUGGAAUAGCCUUCAAAUGUUAGAGAACCAAGAAUUGCCCUACCCCAAAAGUUUGAUGGCACCAGAUCCAAGUUUCGAGGAUUUAUCAAUCAAGUGCAACUUGUGAUUGAACUUCAAUCCCAAAGCUAUCCAAUUCUAGGAUCGCAAGUUAGAUUCAUUGCUACGCUUCUUUCAGGUUCAGCACUAUCAUGGUUUUCAUCUUUUCUUGAAUGACAAGAUUCAAUAUUAGAUAAUCUAGAGGUUUUUUUGGCGGAGUUUUGAUCCAUGUAUGGAGAACAUGAUAUAAUUUGUGUUGCAACCAAUAAGAUCUGUAUUCUAUAUCCUUAUUAGCCAAUUUCUCUACGGAUUAUAAUAUGAGGUAAAAAAAUUAAUGCUCAACUUACUUGAUCCUCAAACAUUGAGUCAAGCAAUUGACUUUGCUGUGAAGUGCGACAAUCACCUUUUUGAAUUCCGAUCUAAGAACCGACCUCAAAGUAACUAUAAUUCAAUGGCAACACCAACACCUCUUCAUCACAUACAUUCGGAAGUAGAGGAUAUGCAAAUUGAUAGAGUACGUUUUAAAUCUCUUACUAAGCAAGAAAAGACGCAUCAUCGUUAAGAAGGAUUAUAUUUAUAUAGUGGAGAACCAAAGCACACUGCUCAACAUUGUCCAAAGAAACGACGCAAUUACAAAUUGAGGAGUAUGGCUGUGAAAGAAGACAAUAUGUCAGAAAACGAGUUUAUCCAACCAUAAUAAGGACCGUGCGGCUGGAACCUUGCACAACAUCUAGUAAAGAUCCUAUUCUCUCCUCAGAGUCCUCUCUUCUUUUUACAUUAAAUGUUAUUUUAGAACCUAAACAUUACAAAGUCUCUGCCUUGUUAGAUUCAGGAGCCUCAGCGUGUUUUUUAUAUGAAGAAUUUACUAAAAGACAUAGCAUAUCUUUAGUAAAGAAAACUAAACCUGUUCAUGUAGAAGUCAUAGAUGGUCGUCUAUUGUCUUCUGGGGAUAUUACUCACGAAACCCUUCCUAUAGAAGUAGUAAUCAAUGGUCAUAAUAGCUUUGUAGUAUUUAAUAUCAUUAGAUCUCUCUCUAAUCCAAUCAUUUUAAGUUUAUCAUGAUUAAAAAAAUACAAUCCUCAAAUAGAUUGGAUUUUCCGAACUCUUACUUUUUUUAAAAGUAUAACUAACAAUGUAAUUAAUCAAAUAGAGAGUCAUAAGUCCAGUUCAAUUAAACCCGUAUUUAUAGGUGCAAAAGCUUUCUUGUAUGCUGCUAUGAAAGAAUUACUAUAUAUUAUUUAUGCCACACCUGUUUGUACUGGUGGAAAGACUUCAAGUGACAUUCCAAGCCAAUAUCAAGAAUUUCAAGAUGUAUUCGAAAAAAAAGAAUGCGGAUACACUCUCAGAACAUCAUCCCUAUGAUUGCUCAAUUGACCUUCAAGAAGGAGCACAACCGCCAUUCGGACCAAUCUACAGUUUAUCACAAAAUGAAUUGAUUGAACUCAAAGAGUAUAUUGAAGAAAAUCUAGCCAAGAAUUUCAUACGCUAUUCUAAAUCUUUGGUAAAAGCUCCAAUUCUAUUUAUAAAGAAAAAAGAUGGAACAUUGAGGAUGUGUGUUGAUUAUCGAGGACUCAACAAGAUUACUAUUAAGAACAGGUAUCCACUACCUUUAAUAACUGGACUUCUUGAUCAGCUAAAUCAAGCUAAGAUCUAUACAAAAAUAGAUCUUUGGGGAGCAUACAAUCUAGUACGCAUCAAAGAAGGAGAUGAAUAGAAGACUGCAUUUCGAACUAGGUAUGGACAUUUUGAAUACAACGUCAUGUCUUUUGGACUUACAAAUGCACCAGCAGCUUUUCAUCAUCUAAUGAAUGAUGUUUUUUGAGAGUUUUUGGACGAUUUUGUAGUCUAUUAUCUAGACGACAUCUUGAUCUAUUCUAAGAAUCUAGAAGAACAUGAACUUCAUGUUUGUCAUGUGUUACAAAAAUUAAGAGAUGCAAGACUUUAUGCCAAGGUAGAAAAGUGUAUAUUCCAUACUACUCAAGUCAAUUUCUUAGGUUACAUCAUUUCAAAUGAUGGAUCCUAAGAAAGUUCAAACUAUUAUAGCUUGAAAGAUUCUAAAAAACGGUAAGAGAUGUCCAAUAUUUUUUGGGAUUUGCCAACUACUAUCGAAUCUUGAUCAAGGACUUCUUUCUAGUUGCAGCUCCACUUACACAUUUGACUUGUAAAGACAAACUCCAAUGGAAUCAAGAAGCGGAAGUUGCUUUUGAAUCUUUGAAGACAGCGUUUGUUUUUGCACCAAUCUUGUAUCGUGUUGAUUUUUCCAAAGCAUUUUUUAUGGAAACAGAUGCAUCAGACUUUGCUCUGGGUGCGAUUUUAUCACAAAUGGGAACAAAUGACAAACUUCAUCUAGUAGCCUUUCAUUCAAGAAAAUUCUCAACAGCAGAAAUCAAUUAUGAGAUCCAUGACAAAGAACUUCUUGCAAUUGUGGAUUCUUUUCAAGCAUGGCAUCAUUAUCUAGAAGGCGCUUCCAGUCCAAUUACCGUGUAUAUGGAUCACAAGAACCUCAAAUAUUUUAUGUCAGCACACGUAUUAAAUCGUCUUCAAGCUCGUUGGAGCAUGUCUUUAUCAAGAUUCGAGUUCAUCAUCACUUACCGACCAAGAAAACAACAAGAUUUGACCGAUGCCUUGUCUAAACGUUCUUAUCUUGUACGAAAAGAAGGAGAUGCAGCUUAAGACCAACAAAGAAUGGUUCUCUUCAAGCCGAAGUAAUUUCAUCUUCGAGCAAUAAAAUCAACAUUGACUAUUGAUUUAACUUUUCUUAAGCAAGUUCAGUUAAGUAUGUCUUCAGACCCUCUUGUUCAUGAUAUCAAGAAUAAUUCUUCUAAAUCUCAUGAUCCCUCUAAAUUUGAAUUCAAGAACAACCUACUCUAUUUCAAAGGAUGCCUAUGUUUUCCAGAAGAAGAAGUAUGUUUACGUAUUCUUCAAGCUCAUCAUGACUUCCCAGCAGCAGGACAUUUUUGGAUAUAAUAAGACUUUGGAGCUGAUAUCUAGGGAUUUUUGGUGGCCUCAAAUGUGGAAGGCAGUCAAAGAUUUUGUACAAUCAUGUGAUGUUUGCUCAAGAUCAAAAACUCCUCGUCAUUGACCUUUUGGACUUCUUCAGCCAUUACCCAUUCCAGAACAACCAUGGUCUUUUGUUUCUAUGGACUUCAUUACAGAUCUUCCAAUCUCAGGUUCUUAUGAUUCUAUAUUCGUGAUAGUAGAUCAUUUUACCAAGAUGGCAUAUUUUGUACUAUGUAUAAAAUCUAUCACAUGUGAAGAAACAGCUAAGCUCUUUCUUGAUAAUAUCUAUCGCUAUCAUGUAUUACCCAAGGAUAUUAUAUCAGAUAGGGGAACUCAAUUUGUAUCAAGAUUUUGGCGGACUCUUUUUAAGAUUCUUAAAGUGGAUAUAAAACUAUCUUUAGCAUUCUAUCCUCAAACUGAUGGACAAACGGAGCGUGUUAAUCAAGUUUUGGAGCAAUAUUUAAGAUGUACUAUUAACUACCAAUAAGAUGAUUGGACAACUCUUUUGCCAUUGGCAGAGUUUGCUUACAAUAACACGGUACAUUCUUCUACAAAAUAAACACCUUUCUUUGCUAAUUAUGGUUAUCAUCUACGACUUGAUACUUUUGACUUUUCAAAAGUUGAUAAUCUUACUGCGAAAGAUUUGGCGAUUCAUUUAUUAGAGCUAUAUGCAACGAUAAAGGUGCAGUUAAAAGAGGCUCAAGAACAACAAAAGGUCAAUGCGGAUGUCUAUCGAAAGGAACAACCACCAUUCCUCUUGGGUGAUAAGGUAUGGCUACUUCGUCACAAUAUCAAGACCAUUUGUCCUUGUGACAAGUUGGACUAUCGAAGGUUGGGACCAUUUUCUAUUUCUGCACAAAUCAAUCUAGUUGCAUAUCGUUUACAUCUACCAGAGUCAAUGAAAAUCCAUCCAGUAUUCCACGUAUCUCUUCUUGAACCAUACAAGACAGUAGACAUACCAAAAAGACGACAAGCUCCACCUCCUCCUAUAGAAGUCGACAAUAAUGAAGAAUUUGAAGUAAAAGAAGUCUUAGAUUCAAGGUGGCACCGAAAUAAAUUGGAAUAUCUUGUCCAUUGGCACGGAUAUGAUAUUAGUGAACGCACAUGGGAGCCAAUAAAGAAUCUUGCAAAUGCAGCAAAGACAAUGGAGGCUUUUCAUCGAUGACAUCCAUCAAAAUCAAGAUAAAAACCUUCUUUAUAAAAGAAACAAUAUCUAGGCAAUAUAACAUUCUACUUUCAAUCUUUGUUUGUAGCUUCUUUGUAGUUGUGAUGCUCAAGAGAUGGAGAACCAACAAUCAGCGGAUUUGACUCAAGAGCCUUCAUUUGCUGACCUACCGGAUGAGACAUUACGAUUGUCAUGACCUUCAAGAUGACGUAAUCGAGAUGAAGAUCUUUAAGAAUGACAUGUUCUUCCUCAAAUAGAUGGCGAGAUACAACAUGUUUGGUAUCACGAUUUAGGAAGGGACUCCCAAUGUUUGGUGAUUUUGCUAGAGGUAGGAACAACUCCUGAUGGUGUUCCAAAUGUUCUAUUUGAAGGAAGUUAUGAAGGCCUCAACAAUGAUCAAAUAACUGGGUAGUCUUUCCACCCUGGUAUGGGACACUAUCGAUGGUUAAGAGGCCCUAUCAAUCAUCUUCAAAGAGAACAAAGAUCAGAGUAUGUGGCGAAUAUAAUUCGUCGUAUCAUAGAUUUCUUCAACAUAUGAUGACUGCUCCUCAUGGAAUUCGUUCCUAGAAGGGAGGAUAAUGUCACGGACAUAGUCAUGUAAGCUAGUAAUUACAUAUAUAAAUAGGUGGAAGUAAGUAAAAAUAAAUAAAAGUAAGUUAAUUCUAUAGUAUUUAAUAUGGAAGCUUUUUAGAAGCUUCAUAGAUGCUACUUUGACUUCAUAGGUGUCUUUAUUUGACUUUUUGGAUUAGAAACGUGGUCAACAAGUUGGCCAUGUGCCACAUAUGUUGUUAGCUUGAAGAUCAAGUUAACUAUAUGGCCCGCACGUAGAAAAACUUGCCUUGUAAGUCAAGGCAUGUAUCCUACAAAGUCAACACAUAUUGGAGGUCCUAUAGAAUGUCGCCACGUAGUCCCUAGUUGGAUAGUAUAUAUAGAGACAAGAGUGAAGCCUUCUUCACUCUUGGCAACUUCUUUCUUGCUUCUAGUCUAGUUUCAAGGGUCUCUAGUUUUCUUGUCUUUUGGCAAUAGCCAUUCUAGUUUCUCUUUCAAUAUACAUACUUGUUUAUUUAUAUUUUAUUACCCUUCUUUGAGUAAAGGCUCACUUGUCUGAAUUACUUUUUCAUCGAGUUCUUGUCCUUGACAUAGAGAGAUAUAAAGAUGUUGACAACAUCCUUGAAGAAGAUUAUGCACCCAUAUCGUUUAUGUGCAUAAUAUCAUAUUACGUGUGUUCUUGCUUGAGAAUGCAACAAGCACCUAGUUGUGGAAGGUAAGUAGAAAUUCAACAACAAUCCUAUCAAGUCUAAUAGAGUCUUAAAUAAACUUUAAAUAAACCUUAAUAAUCCUAAUCAAAUAUCAAUUCAUCCAAAAAAAAUUAAAAGAAGUUAUUAAAAAAAUAAAAAUAAAAAAUAUAUUAAUAAAUAAAUAAAAAAUAAACCUUUAAAGAAAUAAAAAUAAUUUUUAAAAAAUAUUAGAAAUAUAAAAUUUUAAAGAAACAACAAUAAUCCUAAAAAAUACUAAAAAUAAAAAUUUUAAAUAAUUCUUAACUAAAUCUUAAUUUAAUCCUAGCUUAAAUCUUAAUGAACCUUAAUCAAAUCCUAAGUCAAGUCCUAAUUGAAACCUUAAUGAAAUUCUAAACCUUAAACAAAUUCUAAACCAAAUCCAAAGUAAAUCCUAAUCAAAUUCUAAAUUUCAAACAAACUCUUAACAAACCUUUUAGUAGAUUGAAAUUUCAACAACUAAUAAUCAAACUAUUGAUAUCAACUCAAAUUUUUUACACUUCUUAAUAACUUAGUUAGAAAUAAGCACAAGAUAGAUGAAAUCAAUCGUACAUAUCAAUUGAAAGAAAUGCAAGUUAAUCCACUCAAAUGUUAGACACCCUCCUACUCCAAUCUUAAUGCUAAAUUUUUAGUACUAAUAUCUCUUUUUUAAACCAUUGAAUUACUCUCAAAUUUUACAAAAAUGUUAAAAUUUAAGUCAAUUAUCUAUAUAAAUAAUUUUCUUUCCAAUCCAAUUAGAAAAUUUCUAAAGAUUUUAGAAACACUCAUUGACCCUCAAACUUCAAUUUUUAUAACCUCAAUCCCAUACAAACCUUCAUAUGCUUCAAUCUAACUGUUCAAUUGACCUCAAAUUUUGUAUACAUAUUUACAACUAGUACAUCAACACACUAUUCAAAUUUCAUCCAUACUCAUGCCACAAAAUUUACAAAAUCUUUACAUUUGUAAACACAUUUUUAUUUUUCAAAACCUAAACCUACCAAGAACAUUAUUAACUUUAAAAAUCCCUCUAAAUCUUAAUACUCAUUCAAAUGAUAUAAAACCAAUGCCCAAAAAUCUCUUUUCAAGUUUCCUCUCAAAUUCUACUCUUUGAUCUCCAAAAGAAUCCUUGAGUUGCUAUAUGGGCAUGGUAUUGUACCUUAGGAUCUAAUUUUGACCUAAGUUGACAACUAGUCCUCUUCAAGUAUUAAUUUUUAGUAAUUUGAGAUAAGUUUUGCUUUAACCUAUUGGAAACUCUCUCUUAAACAUUUAUAUAUCAAUUUCUUAUCUUAUUUACUUUGAUUUGGCUCAUUUAUGCCUCUACAUAAAUAGAAGUUCCUUCUACAAAUAAUGGUGUCAUGUUGUAACAUGACUAUAUGGUAAAAAUAUAAAUAAAAAAGAUUUUAUUAAUAUUUAGUCAUCUUAGAUGUUAGGAACAGUGGCCAAUUCGAGUACCAAUAUUCAAGGGUCAGUUAAUGUCACCUCAUUGCAAGCUAUACCAUCGUACGUGACAUCAGCAAUAUGCUCCACCGGCAUCAUCAAAUGAAGUACCUUCCGUACCAACGGCACAACCAAGAUCAUUUUCUAACCCUACAUGGAAUAAGCCUAGUAUGUAUAUACUGGUGGAGACACCCAAUAUGCCUGAUGGGGGUGCAAGAAGACCACUUCGUUGUUUACAUUGCAGACAGAUUGAUUAUUAUGCUUGUGAAUGUUCCAAUCCCAGAGCCAAUGACGAUUACACGCAAGUGUGUGGGAAUUGCAAAUAAUUGGGGCAUACUUAUCAAAAAUGUAAUGCUCUGUUCAAUUUCAAUAAUUGGGAUCAACAGAUCUAAAGCCAACAAAAAAUUGAAGAGAUAAAUUGAAGUUCUCAAGAUACGCUGAUAAAUCGGGUGGAAUGUGUCCAAGCCGUUCUUACCAAGAGUCGGCAAAAGGAGAAAGGACCAAUUCAACAUUUAGGUGAGCUUGAUGCGAAGGGCCAAUUUGACCCAAUUACAGGGACAUCUAAUCCAAGUCUUGUUAUGGGCCUCUUAACCAAUAUGAAACCUGACUCAGUUGGGCAAUUCAAUGAGGUCUCGAUUACGGAGGCUUCGGUUUCAUUUCAAGCUGUUCGAAUUCCGAAUCCAAGGCGGAAGAAUAGGGAACCUCACGGAGUUAAAAGAAAAGAGAAGAAAAGAAAAAGGGCAUUUGGGGAGAUCGGAAUUUUGGAGUCGGAGAGCUAGCUUCAAGCUCCUUCGAAAGAUGUAGGACUUGAUUUCAUAGGAUUUGGGAGGACUUUGCAGUCGUUGCUCAAAGUCAGUGUUUGUAUUAGUAAAUUGGAUUUUUUUUUCAAUAAAGUUAAAGCUAGUACUUUUGACUGUUUUGUGAAAUUAGAAAAACAUCUGCGGUUGAAAUUUUAGAGAUGUCUAGAUGGUUGAGUAUGCCAAGCCCAUGAAAAAAAUUAUAUUAAUCUAAUAAUAUGGAUAGAGGAUAUUUGAUCAUUAGUGUAAAGAUGUAUUAGAAGUUGGCAUAUUGAGGUUGUUUAGGAUUUCUGUAAUAUAUGGAGAUCUAUCAGCUGGAAUAAGGUGAAUUUUGACAUAGUAAGUCAAGGACUUAAAUGCGGAGCUGCACAUAAGGUUUGAAUGAGAAUUAACAGUUAGAGAAGGAGAAAUUGCAAGUCAAGGUUCAUCAUCAACUUUCUAGGGGGCGCUCAAAGGACAUCAGUGUGGAUGUACGAUGUUUUCUUACAAUCUGUAAGUUAGAUUGGAUUGAAACUUCUUGAGCAUUUAGAAGAAUUGCAAAGACACUAGUGAUAGAAGUUUUAUAACAAUCGAACGAUCAGAUUGAGAAUUACAGCUUGCCGAAGCUCGUUGUCUAUGGUUAGGGUUUUAAAAUUAAAAAAUAAUAAAUAAUAAAUAAUAAAUAAAUAAAAUAAAUAAAUAAAUAAAUAAAUAAAUAAAUAAAACUAAAAAACAACAAAAGAAUUUAUGCUUAUAAUAACUUAAAGUUAUUAGAAAUAGUAUUUCUAAGCACUUUGUUUUGGGAUUAAGUUUUUACAUUGAAAUCCGAAAUAGUUUAUAUUUAGAUGGUUGAAACCCACUAGACUACUUGGAUACUUGCAAAACAUCAUUUUAUCUAGUACAGCCAAAUGCGUUCUCCAGCAAGAUAGCACAUAAUACGACAGCGGCAUUAAGACUAAAUCUUUUACUAUCUUUCUAUUAUUUAUCCUUAUUUUUCUAUUACAACUUUCCAUUAGGUACUUCUAUAAUAACAUCCAUAUUUUUAUUUUUCACUAUAUAGUUGUAUUAUUAUACAAUAAUAGAGAAGCUACGAAGCCUUUUUAUUUCCUUGAUAGAUGUUGGAGAUGUGAGUGAAUAUGCUAUUCACAAGAUUCUUUGAAACAUUAAGAGAAGCUACAUAAGUCAUUUAAUAGAGCACAUUGGAUUUCUGACUAAGCUAGAUUCCCUACUAUUUAUGCCUUCUACAAAGUUAUAUAGCCUUUGUUUUUUUUUUGUUUUUUUUGUUUUUUUUUUUUUCCCCUCCCUUACCAUAAUUGAUAACUUAUGAAAAUUAUAACUUAAUCGCAAUAUAACCAAGUCAAUUCUUCAAUUUUUCAAAACUUAUUGGGAGUUGUAAGAUAUGUUGGGAGAUAACUUAGAAGAGGUAAUACUAUACAUACUCAACUAAAAUUUAAAACCAUAAACUUUUAAUAUUAAUUAAUUAUAUUUCAAAAGUAAAAAUUUGAUAAUAUAUACAAUUAAUUCUUAUUUAUUUAGGUCGAUAUAUGGUUUUUAUUAUUAUUAUUAUUAUUAUUAACUUUCUUUCAAUGAUUAUAAUUUUCUAAAUUUCUGUACUUUUUGAGAAGGUAACAACAAAAUAUUAAUUUUAAUCUUUGUGGAUUAUUUAUAAUCAUAUGAUUCAUCUAAAAAAGCAAUUCCCAGUCUUAUUUGUACUAUUUGAGACCCUCUAAUAACAUACAGAUUUGGGUCUUUAAAAUACCCAUGCUUGUUAAUUUUUACAACAUUGAAAGUAAAAAUCAGAAUAAGAUUAAUUGCACUAAAGAAUCUGUACCUGAAUAAUUUCAUUUCUAGGUAUUCCAUCAAAGAAAACCUAUUUUAAGAUUAUAAUAUUGUUUUGUAUUUCAUCAUGUAGGAUUUUUUAAAAAUGCUUGAAAGAUGUAUAUUAUGACAAAUUGUUAUUUUUAUUGGCUUUAAAUUCAUAUACAUAUAUAUAAUUUGAAUAUCCACUUGCAAAAAAUUACACGUAUCCAUUGAACAAUAGAAAUACUGCUUACUUACAAAUUUUUAUCCUAUUUUUUAGUCAUUUUCAUCUGAAAAACAUUCUUAGUUUCUUCCAGUUUCAAAAAUGAAAUAACAGACCAGUCCAAAACAGUUUGAUUAAGAAAUUGAAUUACUUAUGUGUGUGUGUGUGCGUGUGUGUGCAUGCACAUAUAUAAACGCACACAUUCAUAUUCAAACUAUGUGUUAAUCAAUAUGGGGUUGAUUUAAAAUUUUAUUUUGAAUUUAAAUAUAUAUAUAUAUAUAUAUAUAUAAAUCUACUUCAUCAAAAUACAACCUAUUUUGACAUAAUUCUCAAAUGAAUGACGCAUUUCAAUAUACUCUAUUAAUAGUGUAUGUUAAAUAGUGUAGUUAGGGUUCUCUUGCUGACAUGACAAUGGAGUUUGUUUCGAGGGGAGAUGCAACCACAUCUGGACGAAUGAACGUAAUUGAAUGAAUAAGUGCAUGGAUGGACGGAUUGUGUGUUGGGGUGGUCGGCGAAGCUCCACCCAGUCCGGGCCCGCCCCGCCCCACACCACAUGGCGAAGUCAGAAGGGGGGGGGAGGAAUAAAUUUAAAUUUAAAUUAAUCACUAAGUUAAUUAAUUAAAAUGGGGGGGGGGGGUGGGUCACUCACCCACCAACUCACCUUGUUCAUCCCAAAUUACUAGUAUGUAACUAGUAACCAACUAACAAACUAGUGAUUGAGGAGAGUCUCCUUUGAAAUGCUCAGUGUCUUGAUCUUCUUCAUGUAUUUAUUUGUACAUUUUAUUCUAUUCUAUUAUUCCUACACUAUGGAAAAGCAUACCCAUAAGUUUAUCUACAUUAAUAUAUGUAUAUAUAUAUAUAUAUAUAUAUACAUAUAUUAAAGUGUUUUUUAAUGUGUUAUAUCUAUGUAAAGUUUUGAAAUUCAUAAAGAAUCGUGAAUAUUUUAAUUAUCAAACUUUACCAAUACGAGGGCAAACAAUGGUGCAAUUAAAUUAUUUUGUUAUAGUGUGUUAAGAUAUUCAGUUGGUCUUGUUUUAACAUUGGUAUAACAGUUUCAUAAACCCUUUACAACAACUUUUAGAGCCAUAGAAGAAGAUACUCUUGUGUGUGUGUGUGUGUGUGUGUGUGUGUUCGUGUAUAUAUAUAUAUAUAUAUAUAUAUAACUACACACAUUAAAUCAAUGUCGUCAAACUUAGUUCUCCAGUACAUAUGAUCUGUAUUCAGCUAAAAUUUAUCAUCAAUUUCAGUUUUUUGAACUAGCUUCAGUGUUUUCCAAAAGUUAUCACAUAGCAUAUUAUUGUUUAAGAUUUUAUUUAGCAUACAUGGGUGUGUAUUUGCAGAAAUAUACUACAUUUUCAAAACGAUUUUAUGAUGUAAGAAGAAAGUAUUAAAAGCUUGAACCCUUGUAAGAACCUUUGAAAUAGUGAUAUUCUUCAGGUUUAUUAGGUACUUUAUUCAGUUCCCUUUUGUUAGUAUUCAAAUUUGUGAUAUUUGUAGGUGGUACAAUGUGUAUGAAAAUGUAACCACAGGAAUUUAAUUGACUUUGUGAUUAUUCUAUUAAAUUCUAAAUAAUUGAGCAUUCGUCCUCAAUUGAAUUUUAAAUAAUUAAAUAAUUGACUUUCACUUUAUAAUCUCAUAUUACCUUUCCUUUCAAUUUAGAAAGGUUACCCCACAAUUGCACAAAUUCUUUAUCCUAUGUCUGUCUUUUACAUGCCGUGCUAAACAUUACUUUACAUAGAUUUUUAUUUUAUUUUUUUAUGUUUUUUCUUUCUUUCAUUCAAUGAAAAAUAAAAAAUACAUUAGAAUGGGUUUAACAUUCACCAUCCAUUUAAAUUUCACAUCAAAAACAUCACACUGUAUUCAAAAACAAUACCCACAUUCUUCAAGCAACGCAGCAAUAUUUUCAAAGAAACCCUAAUAAACAUCAAAACAAUAUUCAUCACAUUGUAAAAACAUUACACUCAAUUUUACAUACAUAUUUGUACACCCACAUAACAACACUAUGCCGCCGAUCAUAUCUUGAAGUACGGCAUUUAACGUGUCUUAAUUUUUUUUCAAAAUCAUGACACCCAAUUAGGGUUUCAUCCAAAUGGAUGGUAUCCGAAUGGAUGCGAGGGGUUUCAUCCGUUCGGACAAUCCGAGGCGAUCCCAAGCCGCCGCAUAGCGUCCUUCGAACCCGAUUGGUGGACAGGGUGGUACCGGUCCACGGUGUCUCCUCCCGACCACGUAGCAAGCUUGGGAUAGGUAGGUAGGUAGGUACGCAACUGGGUUGCUGCAUCGAUACCGUGUAGAUGGAUGUAGAUUCUGAUGGAUGGGUGAACGACGCACCCGUGGCACCCGAGUGGACAACCCAUCGAUUCCCGGUAUGACCACGUCUCGCAACGCGGUAUCUUUAAAGUCAGCGCGGGUGGUGGACGACUUACCCGUUCAGCCCCCAGAUGUCAAGGGCUUGCACGGAAGUUUCGAGUAUUGUCCCCGAUUUUGGAGUUCCCACGGGAUGGGUGACGUCAUUGGUGGUCGUGUCGAUGUACUCCUUUUGUAUUGAUACCUGCAUGGUUCAAUACUGUGAUGGAACUUGGAUGAUAUCUAUUCGAUACCCGCAUUGAUGUAGACUGCAUUAGAGCCACUCAGUUUCAAAUUUUGCGGGCGUCGUCUUCUGAGUCACAAGUAAGAUACCAGAUGACGUGUCGCAACGUCAUUGGGACGUGGUAUUAGGGGGUGCUUUGGGCAUGGGCUCGAUGUGUCCCCAAGUCCACACUCUUUAUUCAUUGAUUCUUGAGUUAUAAUGUAUAUUUGGGAACUAAUGAAAUAAUAUUUAUUAAACAUUUAGAUAUUAUCAAUAUUGGUUUUAUUUUUGGAAUAAAUUGCCAAUGAAGCAAAUGUAAGCUUGUUAAUGUUUUUUCUUGGGUAUUUAUAUUUAUUCAUUUAAUCCUAUUAAUAAUUAAAUUUGUGGUAUCUUGAGUAUAUCUAUUUUUUGGGAUUUUUAUUAUUGUAUUUAGAUAAGAAAAUUAUUUAAAAGAAAAACAUGACCAUUGGAAAGUAUUUGUGAAGCUGACUGAGAACAUUCCCAAUUAUUACACUACAGCUUUUGAAACGUAUAUCAAAAUAAUAACAAUAAUACCAUCUACUCAUUUUUGUUCAUUUUAUUUAUUUUGACAUUAAAAUUUAACAGGUAUGAAUUUUGCAAUCAAAAGUUGCAUUUGUAAAUUCCUGCAGAAAUGGAUUGAAAUUGUAAAUUCUUUGACCAAAAAAUAUAUUUGACGUGUUCAACAAAAAUUCAUUGUUUUAAAGAGCUUUCAAUUUUUAUAAAUCUUAGCACAAAAUUCUGAAUUUAUAGUUUACUACUCUCAAAAUCCAAAGUUCUCACACCAAACACAUUAUGAUUCUGGCAGAUUUUGAAUAAUAAUAAAAAGGGUUUCAACAUAAUUUAUAUGUUUUUUAGGUAUAAAAAGUUUGGUUUGGAUACCUUGACUGUGUGACACGUUUUAUUAUUUUUUAAAUUGUGUAUCGUAUCAAAGAAAUACCCAUUUGCCUCAAUUAUUUUUUCUUGUGCUUUUUCUGACGUGCUUAUCUUGCAUGUAAAGAGAAUGGUGAAACUUGUCCACGUUAAUCUGUCAAGGAUAAUUUUGCUCCAUUCUCACAUCAGGACACCCGAGUACCGUUAAAAUUGCAAAGAUUUUCCUGAUAAAAUGAAUGAUUCAGCUCAAGAGUUUGCUGCGUGGAAUACCCCUCCUCGCUAUAAAAAAAAAAAAUAAAAAAAAAUAAGAAUAAAAUGUCCGAGCGGAGGGACCCAACUCAAAAAACGGUCAAUAGGUAUUAAUAAUAUUGUCAAAGUGGCACCUUGAACACGAUCUGCCGCUGUUUUCUCUAAAACAAGACCAUCAAAAAUCAUGUUCGAAGGUCCAACUGCUUCGGCACAGAUAUUUAAGGAUAAGGCCAUUUUGAGGAAGUGAAUGUUGUUCCACACAUCUGGAAAGGCAUUCCUGGAUGAGUAAGGAGGUAAUUUUGUUUGAUUCCGCCUUCUCAUCGAUGGUUCUGAGUUCCAAUGUAAUAUCACUGCUAAAAACCAAAGAAAAAUUGAAUCUAGAAUCAUAAAAGCAUUUUAUUUUUAUUUUUUAGUGUUUAAUUAUUUUAGUAUUAACAUUUUUAGUACAGGCUUUUUUCUUAAUAUCUUCUUGAUAUUUACAAUUGUCAUCUUUACAAUGUUUUUUUAAUAAUUGAUUCUUUUCAAGAAUAAUAUUGCCUAAAAUAUUUGUCUACAAUUUAUUAAUAAUUGGUGCAUUUGUCAAUAUCCAAUAUAUGAAAUCUAAAAUAAUAGUUGGUGUAAUUAGCUAAAGAAGUGUCUUACAUAGUUGUAUUAAAAUCAUUGAUAUAUUAGACUUAUUUAUUUAUUCAUUUUAAAACUUGCAACCAAUUAUUAUUGCAUACAAUGUUUUUUUCAAAUAGAUUAACAUAUCUUGAACCAUUUAAGUCAUUAUAUCAUUUAACCAUCUAUAAUUUCAAAAAAAAAGUCCAAAGACUUGGUUCAAAGCUAUAUAUAUAUAUAUAUAUAUAUAUAUAUAUAUAUUGGUACAUUUGGAUAAUUAGCUGUAGAAUUAUUUGAAAUUAAAUAGAUUCAAAUAUUUAGAAUUAGAGAUUUGAGAUCAAUAUGGAUUUCUAAAAUCUAAAAUUAACUUUUAGAAUUUAGUUAAGAUUUAUGUAGGAUUUCUUUAGAAUUUUAUUGGAAUAUCUUUAGAAUUGGUUAGGAUUUAGUUAGGAUUUGAUUAAGAUUUAGCUAAGAUUUGAAUAGUAUUUUUUAGGAUUUUCUUUAUGGUUAUUUAACAUUUGAAUAACAUUGGUAGUAACUUAAAGAAUGUCAAUAAAUUCCAUAUCUAUAAGCUUAAAUACAUUAAAUUAUAUUAGAAAUAAAUAAAAAGAUAUAUAAAUAAAUUUAAAAAUUAUUUAAAUAAGGCCACCUAAGAAAAUUGAUUGAUUGAUUGAUUGAUUGAUUGAUUAAUAAAAAUUAAUUAACUUAAAGACUUUAAAUAUAUUAUUUUUAAUAAAUUAGGUAUUUCUACAUACCUUAUAUAUUAUUUUUUGAUUACAAGAAGAAGUUUAAAAUAAGUUAAGAUCUUUCUAUAGCUAGAUUCUAUGACUACCUUAUAUAUUUUUGAGCUAAAUUUUAUAUUAUUUAAAAAGAAAUUUACAAUACUUCCUUAAUUUUAGCACUCAAAUAAAUACUAUACUUAUUACAACAAUAUAUAGAUAGCAACGAGAUAUUUUUUGCUUUGUUGAUUGUUGUUGCUUAUGUAAUUAUUGUACUUGAAGUGAGUUACUAAUAUUAAAAAAAAAAAAAUAGAAAAGAUGAACUUUAUUUUAGGUAGCCAUUUUUGAGACAUGUAAGGUACUUAAGUAGUAAUUAAUAAUGUUGCAAUUGCUGGUAACUGCAUAUGAUGCAUUAAAAAGACUACAAAAAAUACACAUUAUGAUGUGGAAAGCUUAAGACUACUUAGGAAUGUUGCAUGCAUCAAAGUUGACAAUAAGUUUAGCAUUUAAAAUGUGCACACACAACAACAAUCAUUUUUGUAUUAGACCUAUACAUCUUAUAAACAACCAAGUAACAAUGGAUAGCAAAUGUAAUAUGCAAGUAUCUUUAAUAGAUUACAAAGUAGCAAAGAUUAUUGAGGAUCUAAAAAGAAAUUAUGGCAUUACAAUUUAUAUGGCUUAGAAAUGAAAUAGUGUUGAGCUAAUUCAUUGGUACUAAAGAAAAGAACGACAAAUAACUUUUAAGAUAUUGCAUAGAAUUAUCACAAGAAAAUCCAAGAAGCAUUAUAAUUGUUAUAGCUUGAUAGUCUUUUCAUUGCAUUCUAUAUAUGGAUCUUAAGAUAUUUACUCAAAUGUUGCCAUUUAAUUGGUCUCGACAAAAAUUAUCUACAAAACAAAUAUUGUAGAGUUCUUUUAUGUGCAAAUUUAAUGGAUGGUAAAUAAGUUAUAUAUUUAAUAAUCUUUUACUAUUAUGCAUGUUGAAAAUAAAAAGAAUUAAAAAUGAUUAUUAAAUAACUUGAAGAAGCAUUCUUUUAAUAUUAUAUAAUUAAAGAGUAUAUAGUGCUAAUGAUCUUUUUGUUCAAUGGCUAAGAGAAGAUUAUCAAAGAUGUGCAACUAAUCUUUCUAAAAGUUUUUCAUAAUGUUUAUAUGUACCACCUUGUUGAGAUAUUUAGAGGAAAAUUUACAAAAAUAGAGAUGGUGAAUUUACUUCAAAACAUAGCAUGUGUGGUUAUAUCCAAUUUGUACUAAGAUGAAUUUACAAAGACUAGAGAGAUUUCAAAAGAAGUUGUUAUGUAGAUUAACAAAUUAUAGCCAAAUACUUAAACAAUAAUAUUUUUUGAAGAAUAUUGAUAUAAUUAUUUAAUAUCUAAUAUGUAAAAAUUGCUAAAUUAAUACUUGAUGGUAGUAAAAUCUCUCUCUCUCUCUCUCUCUCUCUAUAUAUAUAUAUAUAUAUAUAUAUAUAUAUAUAAGAUGAUGGAAAUGAUUUGUAGUUAAUUUAUGGUGUGAUUUAAUAAUCAACAAAGUGUAGUUCCUCUAUGAAGGACAAUGUUGACACCAUAUAUAUUUUAAUGAAAUCCUAAUGAAAUCCUAAUUAAAUCCUAUCAAUUUCUAACCAAAAUAUGUAGCAAUAUAAGAAUCUCAAAUAUUAUUAAUUAAACCAUUGGUCUUCUUUUAAAUAUUUUAUAUGUUCAAUCUAUUAAAUAAAAAAUAUCAUAUAUAAUUUUAAAAAAUUAAAAUUAGAAAUUAUAAUAUAUAUAUAUAUAUAUAUAUAUAUAUAUAUAUAUAUAUAUAUAUUUUCUUAGAUGUCCACCAUCUUCAUUUUCUAACUUUGAUGUUAAUCUACUAGCUAUAAUUUAUUGCACCAUUUACAUGCUUUCAAAAUUUUAAAUUUUUUUCAAAUUAAAUUCUAUAUCAGUUUACAAAACAUAUUUCAAUCUAACCAAUAAAAUUUUCAAAAUCAUGAAACUCUUAUUUAUCUUUAAAACGUAAUUUUUAAAAUUCUAAUCUAAUUGAAUUUCAAUAAUCUUUGAUCUAAUCAUUUGAUUAAUCUCAAAUUCACAAAAAAUAUAUAAAUCAAGAAAAUGCACAAUCCUACAAAAUAUCAUUUGUUGAUCUACUAUAAUACUUAUAAAAAAAUCAUAAUUUAAACUAUUUUUUAGUUUAUAAAAUCCUAAAUCACCUUAAAAAACCUUAACUUUGCCAAACUCUCACAAAGUCAAUAUCUAACUUAAUUCUCUAAAUCCAAUGUAUGAAAAAAUCUUAUAAAGUUUGUUUUUUAGUAUUACUGUUUGAUCAAUUAUAAAACCUUCUAAUUGCCAUAGGUGCAAGAUUUUGUGUCUUAGAAUUUGGUUUUGACCUUGGUUCACAACUAAUCCUCUUUGGAUAUCAAUCUUUAAUAUCUUUAGGUAAUUUAUGCUAGAAGCUACUUUUUAUUUCUUCUCAAAUUUUUUUAUAAUUUUUUAUAAUUAUGUAUAUAUAUAUUUGUUUUAUUUAUGGUCCUACAAAGUAAGAAAAAGCUUAUUUUAUAAAAAUACAACAUCAUUGCUAAAUGUUCAUACUACUUCUCUAUGAUUUUAUUUAUUUAUUUAUUUUUAAAUAGUUUCCCUACUAUAUUUUUUUUAGUUAAGUUCUAUAAUAUAAUCCAUGUUUUUUUCUUUCACCUAAUAACCAUGUGUCAAGGACAUGAAUCUCAAACAAAGAAAAUCCUCAAUACACUCUUGUAUCAUUGAAAGGAACUAGAAAAUCACUCAAAGAUGAUAUAAUAUUGAACUAGAAUGGCUAUUGUCGAAAACAAGAAGACUAAAAAAUCUUUGAACAAGACUAACGACUAGAAAGGUGUUGACAAGAAUGAAGAAGGCUUCACUCUUGCCUCCAUAUAUACUCUCUAACUAAGAGCUAUGUGGCAAUAUUCUAUAGGACCUCCAACAUGUCUUGACUUUGCUAAUCCACAUGUCUUAACUUACAAGGCAAUUUAUCUAUGUAUGUGCCACAUAGUAAGCUUAUUUCAAAAGCUAUUACAUGGAGUUAACUUGUUCCACAAGCUAUCAAUACAUGCUUAACUUGUUAGCAAAGUUUCUAACCUACAAACACAUCUAAAGUCAAAACUGCAUCUAUGAAGCUUCUAGGAAGCUUAUCUAGUAGACUUUAUGAAAUUAAUCUAUAUUUACUUACUUCUACCUAAUUAUAUAAGUAACUAUUGGAUAAAUGUAUAUGUCCAUGAUACCAUGUUAUAACACAACAAUUUAUCAAACAUGCCAUCUCUUGUAGUUGAUGUAAUUAGCUUGGUCAUUACAAAAGAACUUGCAAAGAACAUAUCUAGAGAGAGCCUAAGAUUUUUAUUCAUGUUUUACACUAUGUUUUUGAAAUAAAAAAUUUAUUGACCUAUUAAUGAUAUACUCGCAGACUUGUUGGCCUAUUAAUUAAGUCUAUUUUUGAUAAUUUUUCUAAAACAAAUUCACACAAUUGUAUAAGUUAUGAAUGUUAUUAAAAUUUAUCACACAUAGAAAUUUUUUGUUGUGGAUUACAUUCUAAUCUAUUUUUCUACCUAUCUAUCUAUAUACCUACUUUUUAAAAUUAAUUAUCUUUAAAUAGCUUUUAAAUGUAUAGAUAGAUAAAUAAAAGAAUAAAAUUUUAUAUGUAUUAAAAAUAAAUUCAAACAAGAGAUCUUAAGUUAAUAAAAGAAAAAUAUAAAUUAUAUAUAUAUAUUUAUAGAAAAAUAUUAAAACAAUACACUUUAUUUCUAUGGUUUAAUCUUUGUGACUACUUUUUCAAUUUGAAAAAAUAAAAACAUGUAAAUUCAAUGUCAACACUCAAAUCUUUAUGAUUGCCAAUUACUUGUUUAAUACACAUCAAUAUAAUUCAUCUCACAUAGUAAAAUUAUAAAAUACAAGUGAUGCACAAUUUUUUUUGACCUUGUUCAUUAAAUAUUGAUAUUUCUAAAUUGGCCAAGAGGAGCCUUGAAUAAAUUUAAUAUUCUUAUAGGUCAAUUCAAUAUUUUCCUAUGUAUAUAUAUAUAUAUAUAUAUAUAUAUAUAUUCAUAGAAUUAAUUAAUUUAAAUAUAUUUAUUGAAAAUAUAAUAUAUAUACAUAGGAUAAAUUAAUUUAAAUACAUUUAUUAAAAAAAUUCAGAUUUAAUAUUAAUAAUAAUAUUUUUCCUAUGAAUUGUUGCUACUACAAAUGCAAGUGUUGAUGAUAUUGAUAUUGUUGCUCCUAAAUAUCUUUUAUUGAAACAAUAAUAACAAAAAUUCACACAUAGAUUUACACAUAUAUACAUCCCAAAAAAAGAAACAGAAAAAGAAGAAAAAGAACCCUUACAAAAAAGAAAAAAAUGAUGAUGUUAUUGAAAUUUAUAAUUCAAAUCAAUUGAGCUAAACUAUUGAAUAAAAAAGCUCAAUAAUAGGUUCUAAUAUAAAAUUCCAAUUUAUAAAUUAAUUUCGAAAAUCAAUAAUGGGUUUAAUUUUUAUAUUUAUAUAUUUUUCUCAUUCAAAUACGAUAUAUUUAAGAUUUUUCCUAUUAAAAAGACUUGGAGCUGGACACAAUUACUCUCACAUUCAAUCUGUCGGUGGUUAACGGAAUCCUUCGUCCGUUCAUGCUCAGUCAUCGGAAUCCUUCGUUCGUUCGUGCACAGUCAUCGGUUUGAGCGACUUCGCGCACAAACCCCGCCGUUUUCCUGCCCAAAGAGCGCCGUCGAGGAAUGCCGCAGCAGAAACUUGAUCUGCUCUCGUUGUUGAAGGGUGUCCCAAUGCACUUUGUCUUUUUGUUGUUGUUUAUUUCUGUUGCGCUCUUGGUUAUGUUACGCGACCCUGACCUGGAAUUUUGUUUCUGUUUGCUGCACGAAGGGUGUGGAGCUCUGUCGAAAUGCUGGCUUAGGCGGUUACUAGAGCAUCCAUGGAGGGGCGGACAGGAAGAAGCUCGGUGGCCAACAACGGGGGGAGGAAUGCCGGGUUUGUUGUGCAGGAUAUAAUCCCGGGCUUACAGUGAUUCAUUAUGAUCCGUCGAUGUUGUUACGGGGAUUGGUUUUGGCCGCGGCAACCGUUUCAUUCCAUGCUCUGGUCUCUCCAAUUUCGGCAGACGGUUACCAUGAGCUCGCGUACUAAUUCCACUAGCACUGCUCAUUGCUGUCGCCUUCUCACUUCUCUUUUUGCCUUCUUUUCUCAUCACCUUCAACUCCUGCUCCACCAGAUCGUAAGCAAAUUUCACUUUUCGGAGAAAGCAACAAUCAGAGGUUACUGGUGCCAGAAGUGAGCUUCGCCAGAGGAAAUAUUCUGUUGCUGGCAAGGAGAAAUUUAUCGAUUGCAAAGUCGAUUUGCAAGCAAUUUACUUAUUUGCCCGUUGCACGUCUUUGGAAAACUGAAAGUUGCCAUGUUAGCCAAUUGACCAUGGUGUGUUGAGUUUGUCGCAGCUCAAAGAUUGCUUGCAAAACUUGAACUCCGAUGUGUCUGAAAAUUUGUAGUAAACGUAGCUGUCUCUUUUGGAUGGCUGGUUUCUUGUUGUCCAGAUUAUGGUGAAGAUUUAAAUCGAAUUUGAGUUGCCUUGGGAUAUUGUCAAAUUCUGCAAUUCGCUUGCGUAUUGCUUAAGAUUUGCAAAAUUUUACAAAUCUGAACGAUUUUUUUUCUUCUUGUGGUUUGCUAAUAAUUGGGCGAUAGCUUUGAUGCUAAAAUUUACUGUACGUCAUGCACGAUGAUAAACCAUGUUGAAAGUGCGCACUUCCAGAGUAAACAAUUGACAGGCUCUUGCAGCGCUGAAGUGUUGUAACAUCAACAAUCCUGACAAACUGGUGAUACUAUGUCCUAUCGGAAAUUCUAAAGAGAUGGAGUAGCUCAGAGUAUCAUGUGUGAAGAAUCAAAAGGAACAAAUUUGUUCUCUGUGGCGGGAUGCCGAUACAAUCCAAGUUUUUUUCAGCUCGAAAUCAGUGAAAUCAACGACGAUGUCUAAAACUAAGGAGAAAGAGGACAUAAGAAAGGAAGAAGAAAAGGAGGGAGAGGGACUAGAGAAGCCACAACCAGUGCGAAAAUCCCUGGCAGUAACUAAAACGAGAACUCAAUCUGAGAAAGAACACAUGGAGUUUGCGAAGGUUUUUGAUAGGCCGUGGGCAGCGAACUGGACUCUUAAGGCGAAGAAAUAUUUAGGCCUUUCAUAGCUGUGACUCCUCAAUCUGCGGCUGUUUCUCGUUCAAUAUCAGGUAUGUUAGUGUGACAUCACAUCAGCGUGGACUUGAAUACGAAGAAGGUCAAGCUUCCUUUCUCUGAAUUUCUUAAUGAGAUUAGGAAGAGGAAGCUUGAACCUUAACCUAAAUUUUGCAACAUUGUGAGCUUGUUGUGCAGUUGGGAGGCACAGAAACACGUCUGGAUGCUCUUGAUUUGGAGAAAUGGAAACCCACCUUGAAUAAUUGCGACUGAUUCGGUUACAGUAAUGAAGAUGUAGAGCAUCGGCAGCGUUAACCCGCAAAGAAUUACCUUCAAAUAGCACCACGGUUAGAAGUGGAUUUAUGUAAGUCUUACAAUAUAAUACCCGGAUUGGAGAUGCGGCAGAGACGACACAGCUUCAUUAGCAAAAGCAACAUCGUGAACUCAGGACGCGAAGUCACAAUCCUUCUUCUGAAGAAGCUGAGUAGAUAGCUUCAAAGAUGCCAAGGGGAGGCUUAAAAGAGGAGCAAUUGAGUAAGGAAGGGUCACGGUAUUUCAGCUACAGAGACCCUGAAGACUUUUCUUUCGAUUUCACAAAGUCUAGACCAUGGACAGAGAAUGGUCGCAUCGAAAGACAUGUGCCUUGCGGUGUAUGGAAGUCUCCGAUGUAUCUCAAUCCAAGCGUGUACCCCAACAGGAAUGUGCUGCGGUUUCCAACACGACCGCAGACUGGCAAAAAUGUGCGGUGGGGGGAAUUCAAAGGAAAACCCCAAUUUGUUGAGAAGUGUGUCGAUUCCCUGGAGAAAACUUUCGAUGCUCGUGAUAAAUUUGCCACCCGACGCCCGCCACAGUACACAAUUAAGCCACAGAAAGUUGACAAGCCUGGCCCUUGUUUUCAUCGGGCGUUGCACAAAGCUGUUGCUUCGGGAGAUAAAAACGUAUCCAAUAGAAGAUCUCUGCUGACAUUUCUUGCAAGUUUGCAUCGUAAAUUGUCAGGGCUGAUAAUUGCAUACUUUUUGAGUGUAGGAAACUCUAAGGGAAGCUGUGAAGUAGGAACUCCGCAAAUUAUUUUUCCCCUGAAUAAUUAUUUGCCAAGACGUAAAUGCUAGGUCCUCUGUAGAAGGAAAGGGCACAAGCUAACCAACAAAAAGACAACGAAAAGACACUCUGUCGCACUACAUUUCGCGAGAGACGUAGUCGCCUACCUGAACCUCUUCGAAGCUCGCUGACCUUAUAGAACUUCCGAUCUCGGUGGCGAAAAGACAGAGAGAGAGAGGGGUUAAAAUUUCAGUAUCCACAAGUGAAGGAAGACUUCGUAUGAUUUCACUACUAACUAGCUAGAUCUGAGGAUUCGAAGAGACUUCGUAAUGUGAUGUUUUCCUUAAUCGAAAACCCGAAGCACAUUUGCAGAAUCGUAGAUCCAGAGGGCCGAAUCUAUAGGAAGAAAGGAGGGCACUGGCUGUGCAGAAAAUGGACGGAGCGAUCGCAGCCUCGCGAUCUUGUCAAUCACACCAUAAAAGAAUGGGAGGUUUGUGACUCCUCAUUAUUCGAACCCUUUGCGUCGUCUCUAUACUAAGAUUGUAUUCUUCCGUUAUGUGUAAGUGAAUUUUGAAAUCUGCAACCCUGUACCAGGAGUGAGGCAUUCUAAGUGAAAAAUGCAGUUUCUACUCACUGGAAGCAAGAUCUACAAUUUACCUAAAUCUUCAACUGAACUCGAGCAUUCGCAUUGUGUGGUCAAAAGCUUGCAGCUAUGGUGCCUAGUGACAGCCCAAAGAGUAAUUCUAGACUAGAUUUGUUCUUCGCCGCUUUUCUAGUCUUGAUUGAGUGUGCAGUGGAUACUUCUGAAGUGGAACUGGUGCACAUUGUAUGCAAUCAAGUCCCCAUUUAGGAUUUGAUAAUUACUGCCGGUUGCUCCAGGCCUUGACACGAGUUCCCAAGCUCAUGCACUGUCGAAUCAUGCUGCAUUACAGUUAAAUCAGAGGCUCAUCUGAAAGGUGAAAAGUAUGAGCUUUUGGAUGCUGAAAAACAGGACAUGUUGAAGGACGAGGCUGUCAGAGAAGCCAGAGCAGAGGCCAAGUUCCAGAAGCUGAUGCGAGACGUUUUUAGUGGCAUGAAAGGGAAGAGCGGUGUGAUGAAGGACAUGACUGGGUUGCUCACUCGUGAAAAACACAACCAUGACGACAAACAAGCGGCCAUGUUCAAGCAGUGGGAGCAACACGUGUUUCACAAUAUCCAGAAUCAGAUCGCCAAAAAGCUCGAGAAAUUCACACCCGACCAAAUAUCCAAAAAACUUCGUAUGUCACGAGGAGUUGUCCAUUUCUGGAUCUACUUUUCCCAGGUUUAAUCAAAAGUACCUAUGGAAGCUCAAGUCACAGAACUAAUCCACAAAGAGUAUCAUUCUUGCAGGUUACCAGCAGAUGCGGUACGCCAAGGCAGUUGACGAAAGGAGAAUUUUCCGAGACAUCGUAAACGAAAAAUAUGAUCCUUUUGAGUUGGAGCAUGCUGGGGUUCACUACAACACCAAAACGCUUCUGGACCCCAUGAAGCAUGACUUGGGAAAGGUUUUCGACGCUUCCGUCGUUAGAUGUUCCAAACUUCGUUCUAUGCACGUUUUUUUCGUAAAAGCUGUCGUAAGCACGUCAUCCUCACAGACUAUUCAAUAUUCAGGAAACGUGGUUGAUGGUGGUUCAUGAUCUGAGGUUGCUUACAUGGCUGACUCGGUGCAGGAGAAGAGGGAAAAAGGAUUUUUUGGUGAGCCUGUUUUCCACCAGGCGCGUACCAAGGAAACCUUAGAUCCAUUCUACUGGACUUACGAUCAAUUCCGGACUACAGUGCAUGGUCAUUUAAAUGCCGAUGACGAAGACUUUACAUAUAAGACAAGAGAAAUGAAUCUGAGUAACCUCUUAACCAGGACUCAUCUAAAUAUUCCCCGACAGUUCACGAUGUUGAACUAUAACAUCAGAAUUAGAAGCUGCAAUUUUUCAUGUAAACGUGAUAUGUUAACUCUCUGAUACUACUACAUGAACUACAUAAUUUACGUGAGAUUCUAAGACUGUUCCGAAUAUAUCUGCAGAAAAUGGCAUUCCAAACCCGUACCUUGGAAUGGUACAUGGGGUGACGAACACUGGAAUGAAGCAUUCCCGCUGAGAGGAAAAUGUGUAAGUAAACUGCCACAACGCAUAUGUUGAAACCACCAACAUUCCAGUGCGGUUAUCAAUCAUGGAAGCCACUAGUUAUUAGUGAUUACCGAGGUCGUGAUAGUAUUUACGUCUUCCCUCACAAGGUAUGGGUUAAAGCCAGCGCGUAAGGGCGUAUAUAGAAUGCGAUACUCAUACAAUAUCCCGUUCUUGAAUGUUCCGUUCAACCGAAACUGCGCAAUUUAAACGUUAAAUAAAUGUUGUUGGAGUUGCAGCUCUACGUGCCAAGACCACUAGACGGCUGCGAGAGGAAUUGGCGAAUUGGAAAGGGUCAAGUGAAAGAGAGUCCAGUGAAAAACUACCCCAAACUCCAAAUUUCAACGGGGGGCACUUCGUUCUAAUUCCCUGUCCAGCUUUCUGAUGCCACUUAACAUACACGAAUUUGAAUGGGCAGAGAUAGACAAACUCUAUUCUCCUAGAAUGCACCAAGAAAAGUCAUGUAUCCAGCAAGUAUUUCAGCGAAGUACAUCUUUUAAUCUAGAUUAGGUUAGAUUAGAUAACGUAAGGUAAUUGAACGGAAUUGUAGUGAAGGUGAAUUUAAUUCAAGAGCAAAUAUAAUUGAAACAUGUCAACGCAAAGAAUCUCUGAUCUAUACAAUCCUUGAGUAAUAACGUCAUACUAGACCGUCGACAAGAAGAGACAAGGCAACAUCCACAAAUCAACCACAAAAGUGCCUAUAAGUAUACAAUCCGCGUAUAUCCAACUUGCAAAUCCACUAAGUAACGCAGCAAACAAUCACCGUCGAUGAUGAUCCGAAAACAAUCAGGGCAAACAUAAGCUACAUGCUGCAACUAAAACAUCAACGAACACAAAACAAAUUAUCAAAGGAGAACAGGAGUAGAAAUUGCAGAAUCCUUUAAAAGAGGUCUUACUCACAUUCCUGAAUGUUGAAAACAAUACCAGGUACCAUCACAUCCAUCAGAGCGUAUCAACACACCAAUGACCCUAACCCUAGCGCUUCCAUCUGCCUGGUUUCAGAGAUCUGCGUCUCAUCUCCACUUUCACCAAGAUCUUCUCUACCGCAGCGUAAACUGCAACGAGGCAUUCAUAAUGUCCAGGUUUCCUCCACAACCCACUACAUCUUCCCUAACUCUGUUCAGUGGGCAUGGAACGGAUGAUGUCCGAGUCACCAGGGUCGGUAAUGCUCAACGUGCAGACACGGAAGUACUUCCCGCAGGCAGUCCCCAAAUCCACAUUGUUGCCGCUGUAGUGGUGGACACCAGUCUUCGAGAGCAUAGCGUAGUACUCGAUCUCGGACUUGCGGAGGGGCGGGCAGUUGUUGGCAAUGAUCACGAGCUUGCCCUUGCCACCGCGCAGCGACUUGAGCGUGGUAGUGUACCCCAGCGUGUACUUGCCGGACUUCAUGACCAGGGCCAGCCUGUUGUUGAUAGACUCCUGAGCUUUCUUCGUCUUCUUGGCGGCCACCAUGGUGCCUGAGCUAGGAUGCGACGGCCUCCCAAGGGCUUCGACGGGCGCGACUGGAAAGCAGAGCUGAGCUCCAGAGCUGGUGC
This 30218-nucleotide long non-coding RNA is filed under the name Physcomitrium patens. RNAcentral describes it as "long non-coding RNA (PPAT_LNC003349)". The record is from RNAcentral. Lineage: Eukaryota; Viridiplantae; Streptophyta; Bryopsida; Funariales; Funariaceae.